GUAAGGAAUAUUGGACAAUGGAGGGAACUCUGAUCCAGCCAUGCCGCGUGAAGGAUGAAGGCGCUCAGCGUUGUAAACUUCUUUUGGAUGGGAACAAUAACUUCUACGUGUAGGAGCUUGAGGGUACCAUCAGAAUAAGCACCGGCUAACUCCGUGCCAGCAGCCGCGGUAAUACGGAGGGUGCAAGCGUUAUCCGGAAUCACUGGGUUUAAAGGGUGCGUAGGCGGUGGCGUAAGUCAGUUGUGAAAUUCCCCGGCUUAACCGGCGGGACUGCGAUUGAUACUGCGUCACUUGAAUCAGGAUGAGGUAGGCGGAAUGUGACAUGUAGCGGUGAAAUGCUUAGAUAUGUCAUAGAACACCGAUUGCGAAGGCAGCUUGCUGGACCUGUAUUGACGCUGAGGCACGAAAGCGUGGGGAGCAAACAGGAUUAGAUACCCGGGUAGUCC
Molecule: ribosomal RNA, 446 nt
Filed under: uncultured bacterium
Lineage: Bacteria
Description: bacterial SSU rRNA
Rfam family: Bacterial small subunit ribosomal RNA
Source: RNAcentral